This 500-nucleotide ribosomal RNA is filed under the name uncultured bacterium. RNAcentral describes it as "partial 16S ribosomal RNA". It matches the Rfam family "Bacterial small subunit ribosomal RNA", at positions 28 to 507 of the family's 1533-position model. The record is from RNAcentral.
GACGAACGCUGGCGGCGUGCUUAACACAUGCAAGUCGAACGGAUCUGCCCUGUUUUUUGCGGGGUGGGUCAGUGGCGAACGGGUUAGUAACACGUGAGUAACCUUCCCCUCACUUCUGGAUAACCUCUGGAAAGGGUGGCUAAUACGGGGUGUUCUUGCUGUACCGCAUGGUUUGGCUGGGAAAGAUUCACUUUUGUGCUGUUUUAGAUGGAUAUGGGCUGCCGUCCUAUCAGCUUGUUGUUGGGGUGAUGGCCUGCCAAGGCUUUGACGGGUAGCCGGCAUGGGAGGGUGGGCGGCACUAGUGGGACUGCGCGGUCGACACGACUCCGGCGGGCGGCAGCAGGGGGUGGUACUGAACAAGGGGAGGCAUGCUGAUGCAGCGCCGUCGCGUGAGUGAUGGAGUCCUGCGGGUUGUGAUCCUCUUUCGCCGGUGAAGAAGGUCCUGCGUUUUGUGGUGGGGUUGAAGGUAGCCGGGUUAUGAAGCGACGGCUAACUACGUG